Molecule: ribosomal RNA, 635 nt
Filed under: Pedobacter sp. Ri3Ps_6522
Lineage: Bacteria; Pseudomonadati; Bacteroidota; Sphingobacteriia; Sphingobacteriales; Sphingobacteriaceae
Description: bacterial SSU rRNA
Rfam family: Bacterial small subunit ribosomal RNA
Source: RNAcentral
ACUCUGACCAGCCAUGCCGCGUGCAGGAAGACUGCCCUAUGGGUUGUAAACUGCUUUUAUCCGGGAAUAAACCUAAAUACGUGUAUUUAGCUGAAUGUACCGGAAGAAUAAGGAUCGGCUAACUCCGUGCCAGCAGCCGCGGUAAUACGGAGGAUCCAAGCGUUAUCCGGAUUUAUUGGGUUUAAAGGGUGCGUAGGCGGCCUGUUAAGUCAGGGGUGAAAGACGGUAGCUCAACUAUCGCAGUGCCCUUGAUACUGAUGGGCUUGAAUGGACUAGAGGUAGGCGGAAUGAGACAAGUAGCGGUGAAAUGCAUAGAUAUGUCUCAGAACACCGAUUGCGAAGGCAGCUUACUAUGGUCUUAUUGACGCUGAGGCACGAAAGCGUGGGGAUCAAACAGGAUUAGAUACCCUGGUAGUCCACGCCCUAAACGAUGAACACUCGCUGUUGGCGAUACACAGUCAGCGGCUAAGCGAAAGCGUUAAGUGUUCCACCUGGGGAGUACGCCCGCAAGGGUGAAACUCAAAGGAAUUGACGGGGGCCCGCACAAGCGGAGGAGCAUGUGGUUUAAUUCGAUGAUACGCGAGGAACCUUACCCGGGCUUGAAAGUUAGUGAAUGAUCCAGAGAUGGAUCAGUG